This is a long non-coding RNA of Sebastes umbrosus (honeycomb rockfish), 390 nucleotides long. RefSeq lists it as uncharacterized. The record is from RefSeq and is a predicted model, not a curated record. Lineage: Eukaryota; Metazoa; Chordata; Actinopteri; Perciformes; Sebastidae. The transcript is spliced from 4 exons.
CUCUGAGAGACUUUACUUCUCCACUCUGAUCAUGAUUUUAUUCAUUUAUAAAGGCAAGUUAGGUACAAUGUUAAUGCAUAUCUGCAGUUUAUCUUUCAGAUACAGAGCCUGGAAAGUGUCCGCUGAAUAGAAGAUGACGCUUCUCCAACAGUCGGGACCUUUUCGGUAUCUUGGAUACUUCCGAGACCAAACUCAGGUCGCAGAGAGCUGCACCUCGACUGUGUGCUCCUCGGAGAAAAGAUGGUUAGAUAUUAAUCAGAAAGAAAGAAAUCAUCACUGCCCUUGGAGGAGGCGGAGCUAGUUGGUGGUGUCGUCCUGGAUGUGGGCGUGGCUCUUCUGCUGCAGGGGUAUGGCCGAGGGGCCCGGGGUGGCGGCGACUACGGCGGUGGU